RNAcentral lists this ribosomal RNA (492 nucleotides) under uncultured bacterium. Its description in RNAcentral is "partial 16S ribosomal RNA". It matches the Rfam family "Bacterial small subunit ribosomal RNA", at positions 30 to 507 of the family's 1533-position model. The record is from RNAcentral.
AUUGAACGCUAGCGGGAUGCUUUACACAUGCAAGUCGAACGGCAGCACGAAAAGAGCUUGCUCUUUUUGGUGGCGAGUGGCGAACGGGUGAGUAAUGUAUCGGAACGUACCCAGUAGCGGGGGAUAACUACGCGAAAGCGUGGCUAAUACCGCAUACGCCCUACGGGGGAAAGGGGGGGAUCGCAAGACCUCUCACUAUUAGAGCGGCCGAUAUCGGAUUAGCUAGUUGGUGGGGUAAAGGCUCACCAAGGCAACGAUCCGUAGCUGGUUUGAGAGGACGACCAGCCACACUGGGACUGAGACACGGCCCAGACUCCUACGGGAGGCAGCAGUGGGGAAUUUUGGACAAUGGGGGAAACCCUGAUCCAGCCAUCCCGCGUGUGCGAUGAAGGCCUUCGGGUUGUAAAGCACUUUUGGCAGGGAAGAAACGGCGCUGACUAAUACUUGGCGCAACUGACGGUACCUGCAGAAUAAGCACCGGCUAACUACGUG